AUCCAAGCGUUAUCCGGAAUUACUGGGCGUAAAGGGAGCGUAGGCGGACAUUUAAGUCAGGGGUGAAAUCCCGGAGCUCAACUCCGGAACUGCCCUUGAUACUGGGUGUCUUGAGUGUGAGAGAGGUAUGUGGAACUCCGAGUGUAGAGGUGAAAUUCGUAGAUAUUCGGAAGAACACCAGUGGCGAAGGCGACAUACUGGCUCAUUACUGACGCUGAGGCUCGAAAGCGUGGGGAGC
RNAcentral lists this ribosomal RNA (238 nucleotides) under uncultured bacterium. RNAcentral describes it as "partial 16S ribosomal RNA". It matches the Rfam family "Bacterial small subunit ribosomal RNA", at positions 532 to 769 of the family's 1533-position model. The record is from RNAcentral.